AUUUUCUGUCUUGUUCUUGAGCUUAAGUAAAUUAUUUACUUUAAUUUAAAGUAAAUCUAAGUUUUGUUGGUUUAAUUUAAACUAUUUGCUACACAUCAAAUCAAUAAUUUUGCGUUCUGUGUAAACCACGUGACCACUGACGUAAUCGUGGUUGGGUUUGAGAAUUUUACGAUCGACGGCCAUCUUGUUUCCCCUCACAUCCAGACUGCGGCUGACAGCAGUUCCACAAUAUCGGGUCAUGCGUGAGGACGUUCAGCAUUCUUGUUAAACCGCAUGGAUGAACUCGGCGUGGUAAAACGUGAAUAAAGAAAAUUGGACGGGGUACUGCUGAACAACAAUUAGGACAGGUUUUGAAUAAUCCAGCCACAUGAAAAACAUUAAUGCAGAAUUUUUUCGCAUCACGACCUUACCUCUACAAUCAAGAUUUAUGGCCUCUUUGGACAGACAGACAGCUCUCAGCUUCUCCAGGUUAUUAGGAGCAAAGGUGGAGCCCUCCGUGAGAAAACUAAGGACACUAUUAAAGUUAUGGAUCAGAGUUUGGACAUAGACAUCAGAAGAGAGUGCCUGCUGAAGUGCCUGAUCACAUACCUUGGUGAAGAUGCAAGCUGUCUGAUCAAAGAAUACCAGGCUGACCAGAGGGAGGAAGCAGAGAGAGAA
This is a long non-coding RNA of Carassius gibelio (silver crucian carp), 657 nucleotides long. RefSeq lists it as uncharacterized. Lineage: Eukaryota; Metazoa; Chordata; Actinopteri; Cypriniformes; Cyprinidae. The record is from RefSeq and is a predicted model, not a curated record. The transcript has 6 exons.